Molecule: non-coding RNA, 283 nt
Organism: Pocillopora verrucosa
Lineage: Eukaryota; Metazoa; Cnidaria; Anthozoa; Scleractinia; Pocilloporidae
Source: RefSeq, a predicted model, not a curated record
UCGUCUUUUCGUUGUCUAUUUAGGUUGGCCAUGGCCUACAUACCGGACUAUAGGAUAUUUCCCCAAUAGAUGCCUCGUCCUUUUACCCGUGAACUUCAUGGUAGUGGAAAAUGGCUUCCUCCGUGGCAGAGAGAGAACCAAUUACCACUAUGCUGUGCCAAUGGGAGGAUAUGGUGUUCAGAUGUGAGGCCAAGUUUCACAUUAAUAGGAAAAAAGGAAUGGAGACUGAUGAACCUGUAAAAGACCUACCUUACGAAAUACAUCUAACAAUCACUUGGAAGGA